Coffea arabica (coffee) is the source of this 107-nucleotide small nucleolar RNA. NCBI's taxonomy places the organism in Eukaryota, Viridiplantae, Streptophyta, Magnoliopsida, Gentianales, Rubiaceae. The record is from RefSeq and is a predicted model, not a curated record.
AUUUGAUGUUGAGGGAAUUUGAUACAUAACUUCUUGAAUCUCUCUCAGUAAUCAUAGAGCGACUUUCCUGAAUGUUGUUUGAUACCGCAUAUUUCCUUCCUCAAACU